UAUCUACUCCCUCCGUCCGGAAAUACUCGUCGGAGGAAUGGAUGUAUCUAGAUGUAUUUUACUAGAUACAUCCAUUUUAAUCAACUUUUGCGACAAGUAAUUCUGGAUGGAGGGAGUAUAUU
This is a non-coding RNA of Hordeum vulgare subsp. vulgare (domesticated barley), 122 nucleotides long. Lineage: Eukaryota; Viridiplantae; Streptophyta; Magnoliopsida; Poales; Poaceae. The record is from Rfam.